GAUGAAGAACGCAGCGAAAUGCGAUAAGUAAUGUGAAUUGCAGAAUUCAGUGAAUCAUCGAAUCUUUGAACGCACAUUGCGCCCGCCAGUAUUCUGGCGGGCAUGCCUGUUCGAGCGUCAUUUCAACCCUCAAGCCCCCGGGCUUGGUGUUGGGGAUCGGCAAAACGGCCUCGCCAGAGGACGCGCCGGCCCCUAAAUCUAGUGGCGGUCUCGCUGCAGCCUCCAUUGCGUAGUAGCUAACACCUCGCAACUGGAACGCGGCGCGGCCAAGCCGUUAAACCCCCCAACUUUUUCUGAAUGUUGACCUCGGAUCAGGUAGGAAUACCCGCUGAACUUAAGCAUAUCAAUAAGCGGAGGA
This 358-nucleotide unclassified non-coding RNA is filed under the name soil metagenome. Its description in RNAcentral is "partial contains 5.8S ribosomal RNA, internal transcribed spacer 2, and large subunit ribosomal RNA". The stretch from base 1 to 120 matches the Rfam family "5.8S ribosomal RNA", at positions 35 to 154 of the family's 154-position model. The record is from RNAcentral.